AUUGAACGCUGGCGGUAUGCUUAACACAUGCAAGUCGAACGAUGAGAAAGAGCUUGCUCUUUCGAUUAGUGGCGGACGGGUGCGUAACGCGUAGGAAUCUACCUAUUAGUGGGGGACAACUUAGGGAAACUUAAGCUAAUACCGCAUACGCCCUACGGGGGAAAGCAGGGGAUCGCAAGACCGUUUGCUAAUAGAUGAGCGUGCGUAGGAUUAGCUAGUUGGUGGGGUAAAAGCUCACCAAGGCGACGAUCCUUAACUGGUUUGAGAGAAUGAUCAGUCACACUGGAACUGAGACACGGUCCAGACUCCUACGGGAGGCAGCAGUGGGGAAUAUUGGACAAUGGGCGAAAGCCUGAUCCAGCAAUACCGCGUGUGUGAAGAAGGCCUUAGGGUUGUAAAGCACUUUCAAUUGGAAGGAAAACCUCGAAGCUAAUACCUUCGAGUUUGACAUUACCUUUAGAAGAAGCACCGGCUAACUCCGUGCCAGCCGCCGCGGUAA
RNAcentral lists this ribosomal RNA (499 nucleotides) under uncultured bacterium. RNAcentral's name for it is "partial 16S ribosomal RNA". It matches the Rfam family "Bacterial small subunit ribosomal RNA", at positions 30 to 523 of the family's 1533-position model. The record is from RNAcentral.